CUCAUUAAAUCAGUUAUAGUUUAUUUGAUGGUCUCUUUGUUCUUCUUUUUACCUACUUGGAUAACCGUGGUAAUUCUAGAGCUAAUACAUGCGCAAGGUCCCGAGCGCGGAGGGCAGGGCUUCACGGCCCUGUCCUCGCAUGCGCAGAGGGAUGUAUUUAUUAGGUUAAAAACCAGCGGCAGGGGGUCAGCAAUGGCCCCUGCCAAACACUCCUGGUGAUUCAUAGUAACUCUUUCGGAUCGCAUUCAUG
This 250-nucleotide ribosomal RNA is filed under the name uncultured Acanthamoeba. RNAcentral describes it as "partial 18S ribosomal RNA". It matches the Rfam family "Eukaryotic small subunit ribosomal RNA", at positions 97 to 279 of the family's 1831-position model. Lineage: Eukaryota; Discosea; Longamoebia; Acanthamoebidae. The record is from RNAcentral.